GGCCGAAUGGUUCUUAUCUGCCAUCACAUUCUAUGUUUCUAUGUUUCUAUGUAAUAUGCAGCCCCUUAGUUAAUGAAAUUGUCAAAAUGCUUUGAUACAUAUUUGUUCUGUUCACAAAUAGAAACAUAGAAACAUAGAAUGUGAUGGCAGAUAAGAACCAUUCGGAC
Molecule: non-coding RNA, 167 nt
Organism: Pelobates cultripes (western spadefoot toad)
Lineage: Eukaryota; Metazoa; Chordata; Amphibia; Anura; Pelobatidae
Source: the annotation of a GenBank genome assembly